AUGACCAGACGAUGGUUUACUGUAUGGCCAAUGCUACAAAUCAACCGGCUGAUGCCGGGAGAUUUAAGCCGCCUCCUUGACCAUAUGAUCAUCCCCACCGCACCGUUGGAUCCUUCCUCUCCAGUCGGUUUGAAUGGUCUACGACUCGCACAAUCUCCUCGUCACAUCGCACAGCAGCCCCCUUCUCUCCUUCAAUCUCGCAGCGCCCGGAGCCGCCGGCGAGCAGCUGCACCGGAGCCCGGGGAGCCACCGGCGACGCUUCACUGCAGUGACUACAACGGCACAGUGGCGCUCCAUCACAGCAUCCGACACCGGCGGCUAUGCCUAUGCUCCAUUGAAACAUCCGCCGUUUCGACGAUGCUUCAUCGCAAUCUAGGUGGCCACCGGCGAAGCUCCAUUGCAGCACCGGUGGCCCUCCGGAGAAGCUCCAUUGAAGCACUCGACGGCCUCGACGGAACUUCAUCGCAACACCGGCGACCGGCCGACAAUACUCCGUUGGCGACAAGGGGUGUUGCAACGCAGCGCACAGCGAAGACGGCUGAAGCUGAGAAUCUGGUAUGCAGCGCCGGCGAACAUGGCGAAUGCUGCGAUGCAACGUUGACCGCGAUGGGUGCUGCGACGCAGCACGACGUCCAUGGCGGAAACUCCAACACAUCGCGCGCGACGACGACAAAAGCUGCGAUGCAGCCACGGGAUAUCGCGAUGCCGCACCGGCUGCCAUGGCGGAUGCUGCGGUGCAACGUUGCCGGAGAUAGGUGCUGCGACGCAGCGCGAGACGACGCCGGCGGCCAUGGCGAAAGCUGCGAUGCAGCGCCGGCGGCCAUGGCGAAAAGCUGCGAUGCAGCACGGGAUGUGCGCGGUGCAGCGCCGUCGGCUACGGCGGGUGCUGCGGGGCAGUGUUGA
RNAcentral lists this ribosomal RNA (903 nucleotides) under Triticum aestivum (bread wheat). RNAcentral describes it as "partial small subunit ribosomal RNA". Lineage: Eukaryota; Viridiplantae; Streptophyta; Magnoliopsida; Poales; Poaceae. The record is from RNAcentral.